Molecule: ribosomal RNA, 495 nt
Filed under: bacterium UASWS0131
Lineage: Bacteria
Description: bacterial SSU rRNA
Rfam family: Bacterial small subunit ribosomal RNA
Source: RNAcentral
GAACGCUGGCGGCAGGCUCUAACACAUGCAAGUCCGGGCGGCAGAGAGGUAGCUUGCUACCGAUCUUAGCGGCGGACGGGUGAGUAAUGCUUAGGAAUCUGCCUAUUAGUGGGGGACAACAUUUCGAAAGGAAUGCUAAUACCGCAUACGUCCUACGGGAGAAAGCAGGGGAUCUUCGGACCUUGCGCUAAUAGAUGAGCCUAAGUCGGAUUAACUAGUUGGUGGGGUAAAGGCCUACCAAGGCGACGAUCUGUAGCGGGUCUGAGAGGAUGAUCCCCCACACUGGGACUGAAACACGGCCCAGACUCCUACUGGAGGCAGCUGUGGGGAAUAUUGGACAAUGGGCGGCCGCCUUUUCCCGCCAUGCCACAUGUGUAAAGAAGGCCCUAUGGUUGUGGAAUUUCUUUAAGCUAUGACGAGACUAGCUUUGUUAAUACCCUCUGGAUACCUGGGUGUUAAUUGCCCAAAAAGCCCCGGCCUAUUUUGGGAAAGUUU